This 216-nucleotide ribosomal RNA is filed under the name Glomeromycotina sp. Its description in RNAcentral is "partial small subunit ribosomal RNA". The stretch from base 40 to 216 matches the Rfam family "Eukaryotic small subunit ribosomal RNA", at positions 686 to 864 of the family's 1831-position model. The record is from RNAcentral. Lineage: Eukaryota; Fungi; Glomeromycota.
GGGUAAGUAGGUUGGUCGUGCCACCGGUACGUACUGGUCUCACUGAUUCCUCCUUCCUGAAGAACCGUAACGCAAUUAAUUUGGUGUUGCGGGGAAACAGGACUGUUACUUUGAAAAAAUUAAAGUGUUUAAAGCAAGCUAACGCUUGAAUACAUUAGCAUGGAAUAAUGAAAUAGGACGAUCGAUCCUAUUUUGUUGGUUUCUAGGAUUGACGUA